This 253-nucleotide ribosomal RNA is filed under the name uncultured bacterium. RNAcentral's name for it is "partial 16S ribosomal RNA". It matches the Rfam family "Bacterial small subunit ribosomal RNA", at positions 524 to 776 of the family's 1533-position model. The record is from RNAcentral.
UACGUAGGGGGCGAGCGUUGUCCGGAUUUAUUGGGCGUAAAGAGCGUGUAGGCGGUUCGGUAAGUCUGUCGUGAAAUCCUGAGGCUCAACCUCGGACGUGCGAUGGAUACUGCCGGGCUAGAGGAUGGUAGAGGCGAGUGGAAUUCCCGGUGUAGCGGUGAAAUGCGCAGAUAUCAGGAGGAACACCAGUAGCGAAGGCGGCUCGCUGGGCCAUUCCUGACGCUGAGACGCGAAAGCUAGGGGAGCGAACAGG